CCUUUUAGUUUGUUUGAUAAGGUACUAAUUUAACGUGUCAAAUACAAAAACCAAAUUGUCCCCUAAUUUGAGAGUUACACGCUUCAACUCCUCAACUUUUUUUCUUUUCCAAUCUUAUAUAUUCAAGUCUCCAACAUACAAUUUUCUCAAAAAUUCUAAAAUUUCCUCUUCCAUAUUAAACUAAUCUUCAAAUUUUCAUAAAUAAAUUAUAGUAGCUCUAAAAAUAUGGAGAUUGAUGAAAAUAUGUUGGUAAAAAUAGGUCUCUUUAUUUUUGUCCAAGCUUUGGUUUAUUUGAUUUUAUCAAAGUCUUCAAAUGUAUUCUCCAAGACACAAAGAUCUUACAGCUUCAAAACGGCUCGUUCCGUCAGCAUUCGCCGGAUGGCCGCCGCGCUAGCCGACAUACCUGCCGGCGGUGAACUAUCUCCGACUAAUUCCAAGGACUUGACCUCUUCUAUUUCAUUCAAACACACAUAAAAUUAAAUCAUUAUUUGGUGUGAACUUUAUAUAGGUUUAUUUUUUUUUCUUUUAACUAGCUAGGUGUAAAUUACAAAUUCGUUGUGUAUUGUAAAGAUUUUAGUUUAUUUGUACUUGGACCUAUAUAUAUUAAUUGAGUUAUAUGUGUCCAUAUUAUUUUCUUGUCAGUUUUUUAGAAAUUAAUCAUUCGUUUACUUCUGAUUCAAUCUUUAAAGAAACGAAUGUAUUAAUCAUUUAGAUGAGAAAUAAUAUUCAGGAUAAAUAAAAGUAUUUUAUUUGGGUUUAGAUGUGAUAAUCUAACAUUAUAUUCUACUCUCAUUCAUCUCAAUUUCUUUGCUUUUAUCAUGAGCCAUUUUGAUAAUUAAAGUAUCGUGGGUGCCCAAAAACUCUAUUUGAUUUUUGAAUAAAUACAAGUUCAAUCAAUAGACUCAUAUUAUAUGCUUAUAUGUGCCCCUAUUUCUGGUAACAGUCGUACGAGUCUUUUUUUAAGUAAUUAACAAAAUAGACAAAUAUCAGGUGAAAAUUUAAUUUUAAUAUAAUGAACAAGAAAAUAUAAAUCGAGGCUAGUAUUUCAAUCGGUGCUAGAUCAGCCAACUGGUGAUAUAUGUCGUGCAAUUAUUAGCAUGCGUAUUUAGUUGCUGCACAAAUUUUCUUGAGAUAUAAUUGCUCUUCGGAUUAUUUAAUUAUGAGACAACAGAUUUUGCUUAUUUAUCAAAUACUAGAAAAUAAUUAUUUCUCGAUUUAUAUUAAUUGAAUUUUUGAGGUGUUUCAUAUUAUUUAAGAAAAAUAAAUUAAAACAUAAAUUGAACAUAAUUUUUUAUUUUUACCUUUAUUAAUUAUCGUCAAACUUAUUGAAGUCAUCACGUUGAAAAUGCAAAUGGAGGAUAAAAUUGAAAGAACACUCUAAAAGUAAUCUUGAAAACUGAACAAUUAAAUUAGUUUGAAAAAUGAAAAAUGCCACAAAAGUUCAAUAAAUAUGGAGAAGAGAGUAAGAAAAAAUUUAUUUUUCAAUGAAUUCCCAAGAGCUUGAUUGAAAUUUAAAUAAAUUAAUCUUGAAAUUUAAUGAGUUUAUCAAAUUGUUCAAAAUAUAUAUAUAUAAAAUAAUUGGAUAAAAUUUUAAAAUUGAAGAGAGUUAAACUAUAGAAUUAAAAGAAGGAUGGUGGAGUUGUGGUAGAAGUAGUAACAUUUAAAAUGACGAGUUUUAAUAGAAAUGACAAUGAAUUUUUGAAAAAGAAAGAAAAAAAAUAAUAAAGGAAAAAAAGUUAAAAUAAUAUGAAAACCAAGAAAGUAUAUUUUAGGGAAAAGGGCCUAAUAUAUUCCUAAAUUUUGUUAAUAUAUCCUUUGUUAUUAAAGUGGUUCAUGUAUACUAUGAUUCAUAUAUCCUUUAAUAGAAAUGACGAGUUCUACUAUGAUUCACAUAUACCAUUUUCCUCUAACGAAACUGAAAAAAGUAAGUUUAAAUUAUUUUAAUUUUUUUAAUUAAAAUAAGUAAUUCAUUUAGAGGUAUACUUGAUCUUUCUCACACAUUUUUAUUUUAUUUUUUUAGUUCAAUGGCUAAUUUAAAUUUAUUAUUUUGAUGGUUAGAUUUAUUUUAUUAACUUAUUUUCUUGUACAAUGUAUCAUAGACUCAACAUUUUUUAAAACAAAUAUAAAAACUAAAUUAUAAUAUAACCGCAAAAAAAAUAUUUUAAUUUUUUCUUUGUUUUUUUUCUCUUUUUCGAUUGACAUUUUGUUCUAUUUAUCUCUCUUAUUAUAGUACUAUUACAUUAAAAAUGAAAGAAAAAUGAAUUGAGAAUAAAAAACAUAAAUAAUAAUAAUAAUCAAAGAAGUUAAAAAUUAAUAAUGUGUGAAAAAGAUCAAAUACUUAAUUUUUAAAAAAUAUAAUUAAAAAAAUAAAAGUUAUUCAAAAUUAAUUUUAUCACUUUAUAACGAUUAGAGCAUAUGUGAGUCAAUUUUGUAAUGAUAGGGAAUAUAUAAGUCAUUUAUGGAACGAUAUGCAUAUACACAAGCUAUUUCAUAAUUGAGAAUAUAUCAUCUCUAAAUGACAAAAUGAAAAUAUCAAAUACUUAAUUUAUUUAUUUUUGCGUUCGUUUUCAUUUUCAUUUAUUUUCCUAAUAUUUUUGGUUGCUUCUUUUAUGGAAAUAUCUGUUACUCUGUUAGUGAAGUGAUAAUUUUUGAAGUGGGCCAUACGUUGGGUUAAAGAGCUUAAAUAGGCUGGGCUGGUAAAGAGAGAAGAAGUGGGAAAGCCCAAGUUACUAAAUGGGCUCAAUUAACAAGGCCGCUCUACAGACUUCCUAUUUUUCAACAUAUGAUAUUCUUCAAUUGGACAAUUACGCGGUUAAGCAAAUUUAUACUAUUUAAUUAUUUAUCAUAGCUAUAUCUUGCUAGAACUAUCAGCCGGACUAACAUUAUACAUUAAUUAUAUUGGCUGACUUAGAAUUUUGUAUAAUUAGCCACAUAUUAUAUGUAUAAUUCGCCAGAAUGUACAAAUAAAUAUGUAUAAAUAUACAAUUAUCUAACAUAUAUACAUAAACAAUUCACCUCUCUUCCAUUCUUUUUCCUCUCUCGCUUGCCUAUCUCCUUUCUCUCCUAAUCUCGCUUGCCAAAUGUACAAGAGCAUAUGUAUAAUAUACAAUUAUCUAACCUAUAUACAUAUACAAUUCACCUCUCUCCCACUCUCUGCCCUCUCUCGCUCGCCUCUCUCAAUUUCUCUUGCCAUAUAUAUAAAUACAUAUGUAUAAUAUACGAUUAUCUAACCAAUAUACAUAUACAAUUCACAUCUCUCCCACUCGUUGCCCUCUCUCCUCUCUAUAACAUGUAGUUACGAAUUGUAAUUAUCAAACUAUAGUUAUGAAGAGUAAUUAGAUUAUUUUUGAGUGACUUUAUGUGAAAGUUUUCCAUAUUCAUUAUUUUAUUUUAUGUAGUAAGCAAAAUAUAUUAGGUUAAAAAUAUUUAUAUACAAUCUAAACAAACAUUAUAUAUUAUAAAAAGGGAUUAUAGAUGUAGAUCGUAUUGUAGGGUGAAGUGUGGGUAGGGAGACUUGAAUGUUAGACAUGGAGAGGUUCAAAGAUAUAAUCAGUGUGGAACAUCACUUAUAAAACUUGUUUUAUCCAAUUUUAUUUGAGAGAUUAUUUACUUACUUUUCAAUAAACUUGUUUUUCUAAAACAAAAAUUAUACAUAUUUUUAAUCGAUAAUACUUUUCCAAACACCUCGUCUAUUUCAUU
RNAcentral lists this long non-coding RNA (3699 nucleotides) under Solanum lycopersicum (tomato). RNAcentral's name for it is "long non-coding RNA (SLYC_LNC000455)". Lineage: Eukaryota; Viridiplantae; Streptophyta; Magnoliopsida; Solanales; Solanaceae. The record is from RNAcentral.